AGCUUCUUUACAGUGCUGCCUUGUUGCAUUUAUGUCAAGCAGCAUUGUACAGGGCUAUGA
Molecule: microRNA precursor, 60 nt
Filed under: Alligator mississippiensis (American alligator)
Lineage: Eukaryota; Metazoa; Chordata; Crocodylia; Alligatoridae
Description: Ami-Mir-103-P2_pre stem-loop
Rfam family: mir-103/107 microRNA precursor family
About the family: This family consists of the mammalian microRNA (miRNA) precursors mir-103 and mir107. Animal miRNAs are transcribed as ~70nt precursors and subsequently processed by the Dicer enzyme to give a ~22nt product.
Source: RNAcentral